UCCCUGGUGGCUCAGAUGGUAAAGCGCCUGUCUGCAAUGCAGGAGACCCAGGUUUGAUCCCUGGCUUGGGAA
Molecule: transfer RNA, 72 nt
Filed under: Bos taurus (domestic cattle)
Lineage: Eukaryota; Metazoa; Chordata; Mammalia; Artiodactyla; Bovidae
Also listed under: 5 other names
Rfam family: tRNA
About the family: Transfer RNA (tRNA) molecules are approximately 80 nucleotides in length.
Source: Rfam by way of RNAcentral